CCCCCUCUACAUCUCUAUCAGACCCGUCUCUCUGUUCUAGGGUUCGAAGUUAGAUUCCGAUCAUAUCGCUUCUCCAUUUCGAGUUUCUCACCCACUCUCUAUAUUGUCUUCAUCUAAAUUUUCCAUUUUCUUUUGGUCUUCAAAAAUAUCUGAUUAGUUGUAGGGUUACGAAUUUUUUGUUUUCCAGUUCGCAUCUGCAUGCGAUUCGAAUUUGAAGGUGUUUGGCUUCCUAUUUUGUGUAUUGUGGUUUAAAUUAAUGGGGGCGCGAUAGAAGUUUCAUUGCUUGAAGACUCCAUCAAUUGAGCGUCGGAUGUUUGCUUCCAGUAUGGAUACUGUGAGGGACACAACUAGAACUGCGGGAACAAUGUUAAUCCCAAUGCGUUUUGUCUGGCCGUACGGCGGAAGAAGUGUAUUUCUCAGUGGCUCUUUCACCAGGUGGUCGGAGCUUGUUCCUAUGACGCCUAUGGAGGGCUGUCCUACUGUUUUUCAGGCUAUUUACAGCUUAACCCCUGGAUAUCACCAGUAUAAAUUUUUUGUUGAUGGAGAAUGGCGACAUGACGAGCAGCAGACUUGUACUCCUGGUGAAUAUGGGAUAGUGAACACUGUUCGCUUGCCUACAGAGCCUAGCUAUGCUGCUCCACCUGCCAAUCCAGAGAUGACCCCUGGAUCUAGCAUGGAUGUGGAUAAUGAUACAUUCCGACGCCUGGUCCGAAUAAAUGAUGGAUGGCUGUCAGAGGCUGUGCAUAGUGUAUCAGAGGCUGAUCUGCAGUGCUCCCGUCACCGAAUAUCUGCAUUCUUGUCCACACAUACUGUUUACGAGUUGCUCCCAGAGUCGGGCAAGGUUGUUGCUUUAGACAUUGACUUGCCUGUGAAGCAAGCUUUUCACAUAUUGCAUGAGCAGCUUGGGAAGCGUGGCUCAAACCUGACAGAGGAAGAGCUUGAAACACAUACUAUAUCUGCUUGGAAAGAGGGUAAAGCAUAUUUGAACGGUCAAGUGGAUGGGCAAGGAAGAUUCUUGUCAAGACAGUUCAUUCACGCUGAACCAUUCGAUAAUUUGAAGGAUGUUGCUUUAAAGAUAUUGCAAAACCAGGUGGCUACAGUUCCCAUAAUCCAUUCAUCUGCAGAAGAUGGUUCAUUUCCACAGUUGUUGCAUCUUGCUUCACUUUCUGGAAUUCUAAAAUGUAUCUGCAGGUACUUUAGGCAUUGUUCCAGCCUGUUGCCUGUGCUUCAACUACCAAUUUUUGCGAUUCCAGUAGGCACAUGGGUCCCAAAAAUUGGAGAAUCGAAUAGAAAGCCAUUAGCUAUGUUGAGACCUAGUGCUUCUCUUAGCUCAGCGUUAAACUUACUGAUUCAAGCUCAAGUUAGUUCAAUACCCAUAGUUGACGACAAUGAUUCAUUGCUGGAUGUAUAUUGCCGAAGCGAUAUAACAGCUCUUGCAAAGGAUAGAGCUUACACACACAUCAAUCUUGAUGAAAUGACCAUUCAUCAGGCAUUGCAACUUGGACAAGAUUCUUUUUCCCUUUAUGAGCCACGGAGUCAACGAUGUCAGAUGUGUUUGCAUUCCGACUCGUUGCAUAAAGUGAUGGAUCGCUUGGCUAACCCAGGUGUUCGACGGCUUGUAAUUGUGGAAGCUGGCAGCAAACGGGUAGAAGGGAUAAUUUCACUAAGCGACAUAUUCAAGUUCUUGCUUGGUUAAGUUAGUUCGAAGACAUGACGUAAAAAAGGAUCCAGAGGGGUUUGUGCAAAAGAAGAUGCAUAGAGGAAGAUUGUACACUAUCAUCUGCAUAGGUUGUGCUAGUGAUGGGGAAGGAGACUUUGAGUUCUUCAUUUGGUUGGAUUUAUCCUCUCACUUCCAUCGCCUGGCUUUUGAAGGAUUUUAGGGCGGAGUGGAGAAAAAGAGAGGGCCACAGUAAAAAAGAUAAAAGAAAAAAAGUAAAAAAAGUAAAAAAAGUACAAUUGGGAGGGAUUUGAAUAGCUUUCGAAUUUCUCAAACUCCCCCUUUUCCAUUUAUCAUUAUUUAUCAGUUUAUUAUGCUCUGCCUUUCCUGCUACUAAUGUAGAUUAUUGGGAGAUGAUGAUGAUGAUGAUGGGGAUUAUGGGGAUUGUUACCAAGCUCUGUUCUUUCAUGCGUGAAAAAAGGGAGCAUUGUGCAGAGAGGGGAAUUGGGAAGGAGGGGAGGGGGCGGGAAUUCUGUGCUUUUUAUUAACACGUCAUUGACUUUUGUAUUUCAUUUUUUUUUUUUCCCUUUUUCCUUUUGGAUUGAAAAUCUUAUUGUAAUCUUGAAAUUAAAGAGAGCUAAGGCAAUUGACUCGUAGCAGCAUCCCCAUUAAACAA
Cucurbita pepo subsp. pepo (vegetable marrow) is the source of this 2333-nucleotide non-coding RNA. NCBI's taxonomy places the organism in Eukaryota, Viridiplantae, Streptophyta, Magnoliopsida, Cucurbitales, Cucurbitaceae. The record is from RefSeq and is a predicted model, not a curated record.